GCCCGGUUAGCUCAGUUGGUAGAGCAUCAGACUUUUAAUCUGAGGGCCUGGUUCGAGUCCAUAUCGGGCU
This 70-nucleotide transfer RNA is filed under the name Dendronephthya gigantea. RNAcentral's name for it is "tRNA-Lys". It matches the Rfam family "tRNA". From Rfam's summary of the family: Transfer RNA (tRNA) molecules are approximately 80 nucleotides in length. Their secondary structure includes four short double-helical elements and three loops (D, anti-codon, and T loops). Further hydrogen bonds mediate the characteristic L-shaped molecular structure. tRNAs have two regions of fundamental functional importance: the anti-codon, which is responsible for specific mRNA codon recognition, and the 3' end, to which the tRNAs corresponding amino acid is attached (by aminoacyl-tRNA synthetases). tRNAs cope with the degeneracy of the genetic code in two manners: having more than one tRNA (with a specific anti-codon) for a particular amino acid; and 'wobble' base-pairing, i.e. permitting non-standard base-pairing at the 3rd anti-codon position. Lineage: Eukaryota; Metazoa; Cnidaria; Anthozoa; Malacalcyonacea; Nephtheidae. The record is from RNAcentral.